Molecule: ribosomal RNA, 505 nt
Filed under: uncultured bacterium
Lineage: Bacteria
Description: partial 16S ribosomal RNA
Rfam family: Bacterial small subunit ribosomal RNA
Source: RNAcentral
GACGAACGCUGGCGGCGUGCCUAAUACAUGCCAGUAGAACGCACAGUUUAUACCGUAGCUUGCUACACCAUAGACUGUGAGUUGCGAACGGGUGAGUAACGCGUAGGUAACCUGCCUGGUAGCGGGGGAUAACUAUUGGAAACGAUAGCUAAUACCGCAUAAUAUUAAUUAUUGCAUGAUAAUUGAUUGAAAGAUGCAACUGCAUCACUACCAGAUGGACCUGCGUUGUAUUAGCUAGUAGGUGAGGUAACGGCUCACCUAGGCGACGAUACAUAGCCGAACUGAGAGGGUGAUAGGCCACACUGGGACUGAGACACGGCCCAGACGCCCACGGGAGGCAGCAGUAGGGAAUCUUCGGCAAUGGACGAAAGUCUGACCGAGCAACGCCGCGUGAGUGAAGAAGGGUUUCGGAUCGUAAAGCUCUGUUGUAAGAGAAGAACGGGUGUGAGAGUGGAAAGUUCACACUGUGACGGUAUCUUACCAGAAAGGGACGGCUAACUACGUG